CUUGGUCAUUUAGAGGAAGUAAAAGUCGUAACAAGGUCUCCGUAGGUGAACCUGCGGAGGGAUCAUUACCGAGUUCAUGCCCACGCGGGUAGAUCUCCCACCCUAUGUUAUCAUUACCUUUGUUGCUUUGGCGGGCCGCCAGGCUUCGGUCAGGCUACCGGCUCCGGCUGGUACGCGCCCGCCAGAGGACCCCAAACUCUGAAUGUUAGUGUCGUCUGAGUACUAUCUAAUAGUUAAAACUUUCAACAACGGAUCUCUUGGUUCUGGCAUCGAUGAAGAACGCAGCGAAAUGCGAUAAGUAAUGUGAAUUGCAGAAUUCAGUGAAUCAUCGAAUCUUUGAACGCACAUUGCGCCCCUUGGCAUUCCGAGGGGCAUGCCUGUUCGAGCGUCAUUACAACCCUCAAGCACUGCUUGGCAUUGGGCUCCGCUGCGAACCCAGCGGGCCUUAAAAUCAGUGGCGGCGCCCUCAGGCUCUGAGCGUAGUAAAUCUCCUCGCUAUAGAGUCCUGGUGGUGGUAGUCAUCAACCCCCAACUUUUCUAAGUUUGACCUCGGAUCAGGUAGGGAUACCCGCUGAACUUAAGCAUAUCAAUAAGCGGAGGA
RNAcentral lists this ribosomal RNA (601 nucleotides) under uncultured Helotiales. Its description in RNAcentral is "eukaryotic LSU rRNA". The stretch from base 238 to 391 matches the Rfam family "5.8S ribosomal RNA". The record is from RNAcentral. Lineage: Eukaryota; Fungi; Ascomycota; Leotiomycetes; Helotiales.